Molecule: non-coding RNA, 402 nt
Organism: Pelobates cultripes (western spadefoot toad)
Lineage: Eukaryota; Metazoa; Chordata; Amphibia; Anura; Pelobatidae
Source: the annotation of a GenBank genome assembly
GGCUUAAGAAACAUAGCGUUAAAGUAUCGAGUUACUUGUAGGUAUACAUGGUAUGCAAACAUGUUUGGUUCAUGCGGUAACUGCGGUAAUUAGUAACAUGCUAGAACUAGAUAGGUUUUUCCAUGGAAGAGGUACAAUUUUAAUGCAUAUGCUAGCAACCUGGGCUCAUGCUAUGGAGACAGGCAUAGUACAGGUAAUGAUAGAGACCUCGUUUAGUGUGCAUUAGCAUGUAGGUAGGUUUGCUAGAGAAGAGUAAGCUUAUGGAAGUGUAUACUUAGUGUAUUUAGGUAUAUGCUUGAGUCACACUAGUUAAGCCCUGUGUACAUUAAGGUUCCGUUGGCAUUAACUUUACUCGGCUGGCGUUAGUAACUCAGUUGCUAUAACAUGGGUAGAACAUGGAGC